CGUAGCCGCGGUAAUACGAAGGGGGCUAGCGUUGUUCGGAUUUACUGGGCGUAAAGCGCACGUAGGCGGACUUUUAAGUCAGGGGUGAAAUCCCGGGGCUCAACCCCGGAACUGCCUUUGAUACUGGAAGUCUUGAGUAUGGUAGAGGUGAGUGGAAUUCCGAGUGUAGAGGUGAAAUUCGUAGAUAUUCGGAGGAACACCAGUGGCGAAGGCGGCUCACUGGACCAUUACUGACGCUGAGGUGCGAAAGCGUGGGGAGCAAACAGGAUUAGAUACCCCCGUAGUCCCUGUCUCUUAUACA
This 301-nucleotide ribosomal RNA is filed under the name uncultured bacterium. Its description in RNAcentral is "partial 16S ribosomal RNA". It matches the Rfam family "Bacterial small subunit ribosomal RNA", at positions 510 to 808 of the family's 1533-position model. The record is from RNAcentral.